RNAcentral lists this ribosomal RNA (494 nucleotides) under uncultured bacterium. RNAcentral describes it as "partial 16S ribosomal RNA". It matches the Rfam family "Bacterial small subunit ribosomal RNA", at positions 28 to 507 of the family's 1533-position model. The record is from RNAcentral.
GACGAACGCUGGCGGCGUGCUUAACACAUGCAAGUCGAACGGUGAAGCGCCUUCCUUUUUGGUGGGUGUGGAUGAGUGGCGAACGGGUGAGUAACACGUGCUUAACCUGCCCCCUUCUUCUGGAUAACCGCAUGAAAGUGUGGCUAAUACGGGAUAUUCUGGGUCUUUUGUAUGAUGGGUCUGGGAAAGAUAUUGUUUCGGUGGGGGAUGGGCUCGCGGCCUAUUAGCUUGUUGGUGGGGUGAUGGCCUACCAAGUCGGUGACGGGUAGCCGGCCUGAGAGGGUAGGCGGUCACACUGGGACUGAGACACAGCGCAGACUCCUCCGUGGGACAGCGGUGGAGAAUAUUGCGCACUGUGGGUAAACCUGUUGCAGCGACGUCGCGUGGGGGGUGGGAGGCUUCGAGUUGUGAUGCACUUCCGCCGGUGAAGCAGGACUGCCUCGUUUGUGGGUGGGUUGACGGUAGCUGGAUAAGAAGCGCCGGCUAACUACGUG